AGAAUCCCAUAGCCAUCAAAGCCUAUCAAAAGGAAUAAAUCAUCAUUGACAUGCCUUGGAGAACUAAGAGAAAGAGUUGCCAGUGGUGGGGAUCCAACAAAACUGCGUGAACCACCAGUUAUACAUGACCUUCCAUCUGAUGAACAUGGUAUCUACCUUACACUUUAUUACCAAGGUCUCAACAUACAUUAGU
Molecule: non-coding RNA, 193 nt
Organism: Cajanus cajan (pigeon pea)
Lineage: Eukaryota; Viridiplantae; Streptophyta; Magnoliopsida; Fabales; Fabaceae
Source: RefSeq, a predicted model, not a curated record